RNAcentral lists this ribosomal RNA (408 nucleotides) under uncultured bacterium. RNAcentral describes it as "partial 16S ribosomal RNA". It matches the Rfam family "Bacterial small subunit ribosomal RNA", at positions 28 to 526 of the family's 1533-position model. The record is from RNAcentral.
GACGAACGCUGGCGGCGUGCUUAACACAUGCAAGUCGAACGGAGUGGCGAACGGGUGAGUAACACGUGGGUGAUCUGCCUUGCACUUCGGGAUAAGCUUGGGAAACUGGGUAUAAUACUGGAUAGUUCAAGAUGAGCUCGCGGCCUAUCAGCUUGUUGGUGGGGUAAUGGCCUACCAAGGCGUCGACGGGUAGCCGGCCUGAGAGGGGGUACGGCCACAUUGGGACGGGGAUACGGCCCAGACUCCUACGUGAGGCAGCAGUGGGGAAUAUUGCACAAUGGGCGGAAGCCUGAUGCAGCGAAGCCGGGUGGGGGAGGAAGGCCUUCGGGUUGUAAACUCCUUUCGACAGGGACGCGGUACCUGUAUAAGAAGCACCGGCUAACUACGUGCCAGCAGCCGCGGUAAUAC